UGCAUAACACAUGCAAGUCAAACGGGUGUAGCAAUACAUCAGUGGCAAACGGGUGCGUAACACGUUGGAACCUCCCCAGAAGUUUCGGAUAAUCCCGCGAAAGCGGGACUAAUACGGAAUGGUCUCGCAAGAGUAAAGUCUUACGACGCUUCUGGAAGGGCCUGCGGCCUAUCAGCUAGUUGGUAAGGUAACGGCUUACCAAGGCUAUGACGGGUAGCUGGAUUGAGAGAUCGACCAGCCACAGGGGAACCGAGACACGGUCCCCACUCCUACGGGAGGCAGCAGUGAGGAAUCUUCCGCAAUGGGCGAAAGCCUGACGGAGCAACACCGCGUGGAGGAUGAAGUCUUUCGGGAUGUAAACUCC
RNAcentral lists this ribosomal RNA (364 nucleotides) under uncultured organism. Its description in RNAcentral is "bacterial SSU rRNA". It matches the Rfam family "Bacterial small subunit ribosomal RNA", at positions 45 to 433 of the family's 1533-position model. The record is from RNAcentral.